Theobroma umbraticum is the source of this 2026-nucleotide long non-coding RNA. RefSeq lists it as uncharacterized. Lineage: Eukaryota; Viridiplantae; Streptophyta; Magnoliopsida; Malvales; Malvaceae. The record is from RefSeq and is a predicted model, not a curated record.
AAUUCUUUUAAUUGCCUAAUCACCAAUUAAAUUGAUUUAAGAACCUAAACAAACUUGAGAAAGGGAGUUUAGUGUAGACUAAAAUUGGGAUAGCAUAUGAUCAUAUUAAUUGAUUUGUGUAUAGGAUAGGAAUAUACUUAUAUGUCAUAUGCAGCCAAAUUAGAGCCUGAACUUAAUGAGCUUACUUUUAAUUUUAAUUCACAUAGGGAUAUAGUAUUUUGAUUCAAAUAAAUAUUUUUAUAAGACGAGUCGAGAGACCCUUAUAAAUAAUUGAUGACUCUAGAUUAGCAAUUUAACCUAUUGAAAUAAGUUGAGGAAGAGAGUUAAAAUUUAGAUGAAGUGUGAGGGAUAUUGUAAUCCUAAACUUGUUUGAUUUGCUUUUUACUCAAUUAUCUUGUUGCUUUAAUUUUUAAUAGAACUAGUUUUAGUUGAGUAAUUUUUAGUUUAAUUAGAAUUCAUAUUUUAAUUAUUUGAAUAAAACUAAAUUGUUCUAAUUUUACUGUAAAAUUUUAAAUCAAUUCUUUAUGGAAUCGAUACUCUAGUUGCUUAUGUACUAUCUAUUUGAUACGUAUACGUGUGUAGUAGAAUUUUAAUUGACAAGAGUUGGUUGAGUUGCUAUGGUAUGAAGUAUAAGGGCUUAGAGACAAGAUCAUCACACUAAUGGCAACCACAGGAGGUGGUGUGCCAGCUACUCAAUGGGGGACUUGUUUGAAGGUGCCCAUGUCUAAGGAAUUUCAAAGCAAGAGAGAAGCCAAAGAGAUGGGCAAUUUCCUAUGGAGCUUGGAGUAAUACUUUAAGGCCAUGGCAUCAUGGAGGAUGCUUUACAGAUUAAUUUUGCAUCCAUGUAUUUGGUGGACAUCAACUUGCUAUGGUGGAGACAUAGAUGCAAUAAGAAGCUUAGAGGAGCAAUUAUCAACACUUGAGUGGAGUUCUAAAGGGAGUUCCAAAAGCAAUUCUACCCUAAGUAUGCAAAUAAUGAGUCACAUGGCAAAUUCAAAAGGCUUUCCCAAAAAAGUGAGAUGGGCUCAAACCAUAGGCCAAGUUGGAACUCCAAACGAAAAGUGUGCAAAAUGUCACAAAGGCUAUGACUGUGGUGGAAUCAUUGGUGGAUUUGCACAAACCUAACAGUAGGCCUUUUUUUUCAAGCCCAAGAAAACAAGCAGUGAUAGUUAGAGGAAAAUGUUGACAAAAAAUCGCCACACCAUCGAACUAAGGCAAUCUCCAAAUGAAAGGGCAAGGAAAGGAAACCUCUCAAAUGUUUCUUGUGUAAGGAACCACACUUGACAAAGGACUACCCCAUGCGUAAAAAGCUUGUAGCCAUCAUGAUGGACAAAGAGGAUCCAAGCAAUGGAAGUGGCAACCAGCGUGUAGAGGACUCAAUGAGCGAUCACACCCAGAGGGCCUAGUAUUGCAUAAAGAAAAAGAGAAAGACUAGUGCAGUAACAAGGAAUGCCAUCAUCCACAACUAGAGGAGCCUAGGAACGCACUGAGAUUAGGCAGCAUCAUGUUGCACCUAGGGGAGCAACAAACAAUAGCAGAAUGUUGUAUGGUUUGAGAGGGACCAAGAUUAGUGGUGACGAGACUACCACAAACAAGGCUUAAGAAGCUCAAGACAUAGGCAUAAAAUUGUCAAGACCAACCAAGCACUCAUGAGACCAACAGGCCGAGGCAAAGAAAGAUUGGUCCACAACAAGUGCUCAAGGAGACAAUGCAUUCCAAAGAAGUAUGCGUAAGCCAAAAGUGCACAAAAUGAGGUCGUUUGAGGCAAAGAUGUGCGAGAGGAGGACCUCAACGUAACAGUACAUCUAUUAGCAACGCCCUCGUUGUUGGACUGAGUCAGGGAUGAUGUCAUAGCUUAAAAGUUCAAACUAGUCUAGGUAGGCCAUGCAGCCUAAGCAAGCCAAGCAGCCCAAGCAACCUAGGCGACCUAGAUUAGCCAGACAACAAGCCUAGCUCACAUAGUGUAAUUUGAUUUGAACUUUUGGAUUUGAUUAUAUACAUUUAGAUUUAGAUUAUAUUAUAUUAA